AGGCUUAACACAUGCAAGUCGAGGGGCAGCGCGGGGUAGCAAUACCCAGGCGGCGACCGGCGGAAGGGUGCGUAACACGUGAGCGACUUGCCCGUCACAGGGAGAUAACCGGCGGAAACGGCGACUAAUAUCCCAUAUGAUCCGGUGCUACAUGGCGUCGGGUUGAAAGAUUCAUCGGUGACGGAUAGGCUCGCGGGACAUUAGCUAGACGGCGGGGCAACGGCCCACCGUGGCGACGAUGUCUAGGGGUUCUGAGAGGAAGAUCCCCCACACUGGAACUGAGACACGGUCCAGACUCCUACGGGAGGCAGCAGUGAGGAAUAUUGGUCAAUGGGCGGAAGCCUGAACCAGCCAUGCCGCGUGAAGGAAUAAGGCCCUAUGGGUCGUAAACUUCUUUAGACGCAGAGCAAUAAGGGUCUCGAGAGGCCCGAUGAGAGUAUGCGUAGAAUAAGCAUCGGCUAACUCCGUGCCAGCAGCCGCGGUAAUACGGGGGAUGCGAGCGUUAUCCGGAUUUAUUGGGUUUAAAGGGUGCGUAGGCGGCAAGGUAAGUCAGCGGUGAAAGACCAGGGCUCAACUCUGGAAGUGCCGUUGAUACUGUCUGGCUAGAAUGAUUCCGCCGUGGGAGGAAUGAGUAGUGUAGCGGUGAAAUGCAUAGAUAUUACUCAGAACACCGAUUGCGAAGGCAUCUCACGAGGGGUUUAUUGACGCUGAGGCACGAAAGCGUGGGGAUCGAACAGGAUUAGAUACCCUGGUAGUCCACGCAGUAAACGAUGAUGGCUAACUGUCGGGCCUUCGGGUUCGGCGGCCAAGCGAAAGCGAUAAGCCAUCCACCUGGGGAGUACGACCGCAAGGUUGAAACUCAAAGGAAUUGACGGGGGCCCGCACAAGCGGAGGAACAUGUGGUUUAAUUCGAUGAUACGCGAGGAACCUUACCCAGGCUCGAACGGCAUCUGAAUCGUCCAGAGAUGGGCGAGUCUUCGGACAGAUGUCGAGGUGCUGCAUGGUUGUCGUCAGCUCGUGCCGUG
This 1025-nucleotide ribosomal RNA is filed under the name human gut metagenome. RNAcentral describes it as "bacterial SSU rRNA". It matches the Rfam family "Bacterial small subunit ribosomal RNA", at positions 44 to 1069 of the family's 1533-position model. The record is from RNAcentral.